CCUACGGGUGACAGCAGUGAGGAAUAUUGGUCAAUGGCCGGAAGGCUGAACCAGCCAAGCCGCGUGAAGGACGAAGGUCCCAAGCAUUGUAAACUUCUUUUGUCAAGGGACAAAAUCAGGCUCGCGAGCCUGACCGAGUGUACUUGACGAAAAAGCAUCGGCUAACACCGUGCAAGCAGCCGCGGUAAUACGGAGGAUGCGGGCGUUAUCCGGAUUUAUUGGGUUUAAGGGGGGCGUAGGCGGGCUGUUAUGUCAGCGGUAAAAUUGAGGGGCCCAACCUAUUCGAGCCGUUGAAACUGGGUGUCUUGAGUGAGCGAGAGGUAUGCGGAAUGCGUGGUGUAGCGGUGAAAUGCAUAGAUAUCACGCAGAACUCCGAUUGCGAAGGCAGCAUACCGGAGCUCAACUGACGCUCAUGCACGAAAGUGUGGGUAUCGAACAGGAUUAGAUACCCGGGUAGUC
This 459-nucleotide ribosomal RNA is filed under the name uncultured bacterium. RNAcentral describes it as "partial 16S ribosomal RNA". It matches the Rfam family "Bacterial small subunit ribosomal RNA", at positions 338 to 795 of the family's 1533-position model. The record is from RNAcentral.